Molecule: unclassified non-coding RNA, 273 nt
Filed under: Hevea brasiliensis (rubber tree)
Lineage: Eukaryota; Viridiplantae; Streptophyta; Magnoliopsida; Malpighiales; Euphorbiaceae
Source: RNAcentral
CUUGCCAUAUCUGAUGUAUGAUUAUAUUAAAUUUUAACAUUAUAUAUCUUAUGAUGAGAGACAUUUAAAUCCUUGUUUGCCACUAGACCUGGAAAAUUUUAUGAUGAUCUUCAUGGUUGAUUACCUCUGUGGAUUUUAUGUUGCAUUAUUAAAAUUCCCAGUUUCCAGUUAGGACAUACUGUUUGUUCAUUCUGUUUCUAACCCGCAUUAAUUGUUUAUUGCUCUUCUUGCAACUGGUUUGUGCCCUUUAGAAGCCAAGGCUGUUGAGGAAGG